This 1290-nucleotide long non-coding RNA is filed under the name Canis lupus familiaris (dog). RNAcentral's name for it is "lncRNA (ENSCAFG00030018887.1)". The record is from RNAcentral. Lineage: Eukaryota; Metazoa; Chordata; Mammalia; Carnivora; Canidae.
AUGGGGCCGGGGCCGGCGGGGAGCGCGGGGGGGGGGGCGCGGGGUGGUCCCCGGGGCCGGCGGGGAGCGCGGGGCGGGGGCGCGGGGUGGUCCCCGCAGGGAGGACGUUCCCGGGCGGCGGCCUGCGUCACAGCGGGGCCGGGCCGGGCGGCGGCGGCGGCGGCGGCGGCGGCGACCCCGGGCCCGGGCGCUGGGCGGCGCUGGCUGCCGCGGGCCGGGCGGCGCGCGGGGCGGCGCUGGCGGCGGGAGGAGGGCUCUGCGGGGCCGGGCGGCAGCUGCGUCCCGGCUCGGAGCCCGCGAGGAGGACGAGGAGGGAGGCGCCGCCGUGGCCGCGGCCGCAGUGCUCGGGCGCCACCCGCCCUGAGCGGCGGCCCCGCCGACGACCCCGCCGCCGAGCCGGCCCGGGAGACCGCCCGCCGCUCCCCAGCGCCGUCCCCGCCGGCAGCCCGGCGCCCGGAGGUAAGGGCGGGGACCGCCGAGGGAUGCUGGCGAGGGCGGCCCGCUAGGUGCGCGGGAGCCGCGGCCCCGCCCGCCCCCGCCCUCGGAGCCCCCCGCUGCCUGGGCUCGGGGACCCCCGCGGGGCGCCCCAGGCUGGCGCCCAGCUCCGCGCGGCCGCCGCAGGUCCUGCGGACUUGGGGGGGCGGAGGGUGGGGGGGCCGGGAGGAGGAGGGGGCCGAGGAGGAGGAGGAGGACGAGGAGGAGGAGGGGAGAGGCGGCCACCGCGGGGCGAUCGUCCUUCUCCCCUACCUGGAGCCCCCCGCGCCCCCACGGCCUGUCCCUUCUGGGGUGCUCUCCCCGUGUACCCCCGGGCCCCUGAAGUUAGCACUUUCGGGGAGCGAGGAACCGGAGGGCCCCCGACGGGAGCGCGAGCGCGGCGCCUGCCCCCGGCGGGACCGGGGGAGCGAGGGUCGGGCGGGGCGGGCGGGCCCGGGAGCCAGGUGUCCAGGCCGGCGGUGGAGGAGGGGACCGCCGCCCUCCGCCCAAACGCAGGCCGCCGCGCCUUCCCUUUGCAGCCGGUUCCCGGCAGCGAGGUGGCCGGGGGUGGAGUGCGCGACUCCGGAGCCCUCGGACGUGCUCCCGGGACGCUGGUUCCUUUCUGGCCCCCCAGCACCCCCCCAGCAUCCCCUCCCAGCAUCCCCCAGCGCCCCCCCAGCAUCCCCCCAGCGCCCCCCAGAACCCCCCAGCACCCCCCCAGCAUCCCCCCAGCACCCCCCCAGCAUCCCCCCCCUCCCCCGCCGGUGCGCAGCACCUCGCCGCGCCUUCCACAGCCCGCGCGCCACCCGGCCCUGA